This 497-nucleotide ribosomal RNA is filed under the name uncultured bacterium. RNAcentral describes it as "partial 16S ribosomal RNA". It matches the Rfam family "Bacterial small subunit ribosomal RNA", at positions 28 to 507 of the family's 1533-position model. The record is from RNAcentral.
GAUGAACGCUGGCGGCGUGCCUAAUACAUGCAAGUCGAGCGAACGGACGAGAAGCUUGCUUCUCUGAUGUUAGCGGCGGACGGGUGAGUAACACGUGGAUAACCUACCUAUAAGACUGGGAUAACUUCGGGAAACCGGAGAUAAUACCGGAUAAUAUUUUGAACCGCUUGGUUCAAAAGUGAAAGACGGUCUUGCUGUCACUUAUAGAUGGAUCCGCGCUGCAUUAGCUAGUUGGUAAGGUAACGGCUUACCAAGGCAACGAUGCAUAGCCGACCUGAGAGGGUGAUCCGCCACACUGGAACUGAGACACGGUCCAGACUCCUACGGGAGGCAGCAGUGGGGAAUCUUGCGCAAUGGGCGAAAGCCUGACGGAGCAACGCCGCGUGAGUGAUGAAGGUCUUCGGAUCGUAAAACUCUGUUAUUAGGGAAGAACAUAUGUGUAAGUAACUGUGCACAUCUUGACGGUACCUAAUCAGAAAGCCACGGCUAACUACGUG